This 497-nucleotide ribosomal RNA is filed under the name uncultured bacterium. RNAcentral's name for it is "partial 16S ribosomal RNA". It matches the Rfam family "Bacterial small subunit ribosomal RNA", at positions 28 to 507 of the family's 1533-position model. The record is from RNAcentral.
GAUGAACGCUGGCGGCGUGCCUAAUACAUGCAAGUCGAACGAACGGACGCGAAGCUUGCUUCUCUGAUGUUAGCGGCGCACGGGUGAGUCACACGUGGAUAACCUACCUAUAAGACUGGGAUAACUUCGGGAAACCGUAGCUAAUACCGGAUAAUAUUUUGAACCGCAUGGUGCAAAAGUGAAAGACGGUGUUGCUGUCACUUAUAGAUGCAUUUGCGCUGCAUUAGCUGGUUGGGAAGGUAAAGGGUUACGAAGGCAACGAGGCAUAGCCGACCUGAGAGGGUGAUCGGCCACCCUGGAAGUGGACCGCGGUCCAGAGUCCUACGGUAGGGAGCAGUAGGGAAUGUUCGGCAAUGGGCGAAAGCCUUACGGAGCAGCGCGGCGUGAGUGAUGAAGGUCUUCGGAGCGUAAAACUCUGUUAUUAGGGGAGAACAUAUUUGUAAGUAACUGUGCACAUCUUGACGGUUCCUAAUCAGAAAGCCACGGCUAACUACGUG